Molecule: signal recognition particle RNA, 290 nt
Filed under: Aotus nancymaae (Ma's night monkey)
Lineage: Eukaryota; Metazoa; Chordata; Mammalia; Primates; Aotidae
Description: Metazoan signal recognition particle RNA (ENSANAG00000006608.1)
Rfam family: Metazoan signal recognition particle RNA
About the family: The signal recognition particle (SRP) is a universally conserved ribonucleoprotein.
Source: Rfam by way of RNAcentral
GCUGGGCACAGUGGCGUGUGCCUGUAGUCCCAGCUACUUGGGAGGCUGAGGUGGGAGGAUCACUUGAGCCCAGGAGUUCUGGGCUGUAGUACGCUAUGCCGAUCUGGUGUCUGCACUAAGUUCAGCAUCAAUAUGGUGACCUCCAGGAGUGGGGGACCACCAGGUUGCCUAAGGAGGGGUGAACUGACCCAGGUCGGAAAUAGAGCAGGUUAAAACUCCUGUGCUGAUCAGUAGUGGGAUCGCGCCUGUGAACAGCCACAGCACUCCAGCCUGGGCAACAUAGCAAGAAA